This 261-nucleotide ribosomal RNA is filed under the name uncultured prokaryote. Its description in RNAcentral is "partial 16S ribosomal RNA". It matches the Rfam family "Bacterial small subunit ribosomal RNA", at positions 524 to 784 of the family's 1533-position model. The record is from RNAcentral.
UACGUAGGGUGCGAGCAUUGUCCGGAUUUACUGGGCGUAAAGGGAGCGUAGGCGGACUUUUAAGUGAGAUGUGAAAUACCCGGGCUCAACUUGGGUGCUGCAUUUCAAACUGGAAGUCUAGAGUGCAGGAGAGGAGAAUGGAAUUCCUAGUGUAGCGGUGAAAUGCGUAGAGAUUAGGAAGAACACCAGUGGCGAAGGCGAUUCUCUGGACUGUAACUGACGCUGAGGCUCGAAAGCGUGGGGAGCAAACAGGAUUAGAUA